UACGGAGGGUGCGAGCGUUGUCCGGAAUCACUGGGCGUAAAGGGCGCGUAGGCGGCCUGCUAAGUCGAACGUGAAAUCCCUGGGCUCAACCCAGGAACUGCGUCCGAUACUGGUUGGCUUGAAUCCGGGAGAGGGAUGUGGAAUUCCAGGUGUAGCGGUGAAAUGCGUAGAUAUCUGGAGGAACACCGGUGGCGAAGGCGGCAUCCUGGACCGGCAUUGACGCUGAGGCGCGAAAGCCAGGGGAGCAAACGGG
Molecule: ribosomal RNA, 253 nt
Filed under: uncultured bacterium
Lineage: Bacteria
Description: partial 16S ribosomal RNA
Rfam family: Bacterial small subunit ribosomal RNA
Source: RNAcentral